This is a non-coding RNA of Malus domestica (apple), 176 nucleotides long. The record is from RefSeq and is a predicted model, not a curated record. Lineage: Eukaryota; Viridiplantae; Streptophyta; Magnoliopsida; Rosales; Rosaceae.
GAAUCUCGGGCGACCCACGACGGGGCGACCCAUCUCACUCUCAAUCUCUCACACCUCGCCCUCGCCGUCAGUCCUUCAUCUCGCCGUGAGCUUCUUCUUGCCGUUUCGAGUCUCGACUGCAAAAGACGGAAGCUCUCUACUCCAAACUCUACGAAAAGUACACAAAAAUCAAGGUG